CGUCAUUGAUUUCUCCCUUCUGACGAGCCGUGAUGUCAUUCAUUUGGUGUUACGGGGAGUCAGGACUGUUACUUUGAAAAAAUUAGAGUGUUUAAAGCAGGCAAUCGCUCGAAUACAUUAGCAUGGAAUAAUGAAAUAGGACGUUCGAACCUAUUUUGUUGGUUUCUAGGAUCGACGUAAUGAUUAAUAGGGAUAGUUGGGGGCAUUAGUAUUCAAUUGUCAGAGGUGAAAUUCUUGGAUUUAUUGAAGACUAACUACUGCGAAAGCAUUUGCCAAGGAUGUUUUCAUUAAUCAAGAACGAAAGUUAGGGGAUCGAAGACGAUCAGAUACCGUCGUAGUCUUAACCAUAAACUAUGCCGACUAGGGAUCGGAUGAUGUUAAUUUUUUAAUGACUCAUUCGGCGCCUUACG
RNAcentral lists this ribosomal RNA (410 nucleotides) under uncultured Glomeromycotina. RNAcentral's name for it is "SSU rRNA". It matches the Rfam family "Eukaryotic small subunit ribosomal RNA", at positions 684 to 1092 of the family's 1831-position model. Lineage: Eukaryota; Fungi; Glomeromycota. The record is from RNAcentral.